Molecule: long non-coding RNA, 216 nt
Organism: Pocillopora damicornis (cauliflower coral)
Lineage: Eukaryota; Metazoa; Cnidaria; Anthozoa; Scleractinia; Pocilloporidae
Source: RefSeq, a predicted model, not a curated record
AAUGUGGGAACUGUUUACCCUCGGGGGAUCGCCAUAUCCUGGUGUUAGUGUCCAAGAACUCAUUUCGUUGUUGGAGGAUGCAUACCGCAUGCCAAAACCGAACCACGUCUCAGAGAAACUGUAUGCCAUAAUGAUGGAGUGUUGGAACGAACAGCCCCAAAAUAGACCAACAUUCAAGUGGAUUCGUUACGCAGUCAAAAGACUUCAGGAUGACCA